UGCCACCUAGACAAACGGGCAUGGACCAAUUUUACUGACGAGGCAUGAAGAGAUAAACACAAAAUCAAAUUUAGAUUUGAUUUUCCAUUUUCUUUUGUGAGUAGAAGAGAUUUUGGAUUUAGCAAUGGCGUUUGGGAAUGGAGUUUGGAUCUGAGUAAUGGAUAUUGGAGAUCUGGUUGUGGUGUUUUUGAUUGAACUGAUUUUGGGCUUGGCUCCUCCUUCACCUUCUUCAUUCUUCUGUCAUCUCUCCACCCUUAGCCUCUUGUGACCCCUCCUUCUUGCGGUCCACCCAUGCUUCAGAGCUUGGAUUUGAUCUGGUAAGUUGUGUGGGAUGAGCUUUUCGUGGGAUUUGACUUUAGAGUGUUGGAUUUAGCUGCUAUUGUCAGAAUUUGGAAUCCAGUAUGGCGGUGAUUUUAUCGAAAUCUGGGAUUUGGAUUUUGGGCGUUUGGUGUUCCAUUUCAGCUUGCUUGGGGCUUGAUGUUUAUCUGUGUUGCACCUGAUUUGGGUUUGUUUUAUUGUGAUCCCCGACCUAUUUUCGACGGCCUGGUUCUAUUUUAUUUCUUUAUUUUAUUUUGGAUGUCUGAUUUGGGUUCGUGUUUUGGUGGCAUGUUCUCCCUUUUGAUUUCAUGUGUUGUUAUAAUCUAUAUCUUCCAUUAAAUCAUGUACGAGUGUUUGUUUAAUCUGGGUUGUUCAAACUGGGUUAGAUGUUUGUGACUUCGCCGAUAUAUGGAAAAUCUGUGGCAUGAUGUUUAAUUCCAAUUUAUCAUUAUGAUUUUUAAUGUUUAGUAAAUGAUUUAUUGGUUUUGAUUUCAAUUCUUCUUCCAUGUUCAACCGUUAUCCCACCGUCGGAUAUCGAUCUCCUUAUCCUCCUCCUCUACCGGCCCACCCAAUUUGGAUAUGCUUUUGGAGCUUUGGUGAUUUAGGUCCGUGAUGCUUUGAUUUGUGGCUGAUGUGGUUGUGUUGGGUUUGGGCAAGGGUUUAUUUUUUUGCCGAAUGACCUUUAUGGUUUGGGUGAUCGGAAACUAUAGUUUCCCGACUGUUGCAGAUGUGACUUUCAUUUUUGGAUUCUGUGUUUGAUCUGAAUACCUUGUUCGAAGUCUAAAUUUAAUUUAACUCUCUUCAUGCCUUGUCAGCAAAAUUAGUCCGGGCGUUAGCAAAAAAUUUCCACAUGUAAUGCAAUGUCUGUUAGGUGUAGGAAUAUAGUUGAUAUAAAAUUUGUAAAGUCAUGUGUAUUUUUGAAAAAAAAAAAAAUUCAAGAUGUAAAUGAAACUUCGAGAUAAA
RNAcentral lists this long non-coding RNA (1281 nucleotides) under Panax ginseng (ginseng). RNAcentral describes it as "long non-coding RNA (PGIN_LNC012260)". Lineage: Eukaryota; Viridiplantae; Streptophyta; Magnoliopsida; Apiales; Araliaceae. The record is from RNAcentral.